RNAcentral lists this long non-coding RNA (205 nucleotides) under Actinidia chinensis (golden kiwifruit). Its description in RNAcentral is "long non-coding RNA (ACHI_LNC000614)". Lineage: Eukaryota; Viridiplantae; Streptophyta; Magnoliopsida; Ericales; Actinidiaceae. The record is from RNAcentral.
CGCAACUCACAAAUUUGUUCCUCCGUCAAUCGGGGCUGUCACGAUACACGAAAUUGCCAGUGGCGGUGAGAUGUCUCAACUGAAGCUUCAAAUUAUUGAGAGAUAUAAUUAGGUUUUGUCGAGGGCGGUUGCGUAAAAGAAGAGAAUACGAAAUUGUUGAUCUGUGAAUAUAUGUUUGUGUGUGCAUACGUGUAGGGAGAGAGAG